CUCAGGACGAACGCUGGCGGCGUGCCUAAUACAUGCAGUCGAACGAACUCUGGUAUUGAUUGGUGCUUGCAUCAUGAUUUACAUUUGAGUGAGUGGCGAACUGGUGAGUAACACGUGGGAAACCUGCCCAGAAGCGGGGGAUAACACCUGGAAACAGAUGCUAAUACCGCAUAACAACUUGGACCGCAKGGUCCGAGCUUGAAAGAUGGCUUCGGCUAUCACUUUUGGAUGGUCCCGCGGCGUAUUAGCUAGAUGGUGGGGUAACGGCUCACCAUGGCAAUGAUACGUAGCCGACCUGAGAGGGUAAUCGGCCACAUUGGGACUGAGACACGGCCCAAACUCCUACGGGAGGCAGCAGUAGGGAAUCUUCCACAAUGGACGAAAGUCUGAUGGAGCAACGCCGCGUGAGUGAAGAAGGGUUUCGGCUCGUAAAACUCUGUUGUUAAAGAAGAACAUAUCUGAGAGUAACUGUUCAGGUAUUGACGGUAUUUAACCAGAAAGCCACGGCUAACUACGUGCCAGCAGCCGCGGUAAUACGUAGGUGGCAAGCGUUGUCCGGAUUUAUUGGGCGUAAAGCGAGCGCAGGCGGUUUUUUAAGUCUGAUGUGAAAGCCUUCGGCUCAACCGAAGAAGUGCAUCGGAAACUGGGAAACUUGAGUGCAGAAGAGGACAGUGGAACUCCAUGUGUAGCGGUGAAAUGCGUAGAUAUAUGGAAGAACACCAGUGGCGAAGCGGCUGUCUGGUCUGUAACUGACGCUGAGGCUCGAAAGUAUGGGUAGCAAACAGGAUA
RNAcentral lists this ribosomal RNA (789 nucleotides) under Lactiplantibacillus plantarum. Its description in RNAcentral is "bacterial SSU rRNA". Lineage: Bacteria; Bacillati; Bacillota; Bacilli; Lactobacillales; Lactobacillaceae. The record is from RNAcentral.